AGCAAUUCGGCAUGUCUGCUUUGGCCUUCACCGAUUUUUAUUGAUGCGCUGUAGAUCGGGAUGCUUGGUAUGGAAGUCGCAGGGAGUUGUGGUCACAGUUCAGCACCUCACCAAACCAGCCUCCCCUCCACUGACUCUGUCUACACUUCCCACUGCCUCUGCAAAGAGUCAAGAUUCAAGAUUCAAGUUCACCUAUCAUGUAUACGCUGAGACAUACAGUGAAAUGUGUUGUUUGCGUUAUCAAAGCAUACAUGAAGGGACAGCUUGCAAACUGUCACCAUACAUUCCGGCAGCAACGUGGCAUGUCAAUAAAGCAGUCAGCAUUAUCAAAGUCCUCUCCCAUCUCUGACUUUCUCUAUUCUCCCCACUCCCAUCAGGAAUUAGGUACAAAGCCUGAAAACAUUUACCAUCAGGCUCAACGACAGCUUCUAUCCCACUGCUUUACUGGUUCCCUAGUAUGAGAAGAUGGACUCCUGACCUCACAAUCUCCCUUGUUAUGAACUUGCGCCUUAUUGUUUACUGCACUGCACCCUCUCUGUAACUGUAACACUACAUUCUGCAUUCUGCUUUUUGUCACAGUGUGCGCUUGAAGGGCUGGACCCAAAUGCAGAGGAAUGGGAGACUCCCUCUGUCACAAUGGUUGCUGGCACCAGCUCAACCCAGGAGAGGAGGUCGAUAGGCUCAUGACCUGGCCCAGGGGCAGGGGGAAUGGCAGAAUCCCCUUGAAGAGACAGAAACAAGAGGAUGGGCAUAGGAAUGUCAACAGAGGGACAACUGAGCAACACCGUGACACAGAUUAUUGUCUUUAUCGUAGUAGGACUCUGCUAAAGAGCUAACUUCAAAUAAUCAUAAAAUACAGGAAACACGUGCCAGUCGUUAAGGUAAUAGUACAAGUGUUCAAGAAACUGAGAGGAUCAGUGUUCUAGGGCAAGCUGCAGGGCUCAGGAUACCAUUUUUUAAUUAAUUGAAAUUUAUGCGUCAAGAUUUUCACUGUACCUCAGAAUGUGUGACAAUAAUAAUUCAAUUUACCAAUUUAUCAUCAAUUUUACUUUUCUUUUUUUUGCAUGCAAUUCUGGUCUCUACAUAUGUAGAGACUUGAGUGGACUUACAAGAGGUUUCAUGGACAAGGUGAAGGUGGAGAAACUGGAGGAGAUUUGGCAACACAGGAGACUGCAGAUUCUGGAAUCUGGAGCAACGGACAAUCUUCUAGAAGAACUCAUUGGGUUGAGCAGCAUCUGUGGGAAAGAUGGGAAGAAGGAACUGUUGGAUAUUUCGGAUCAUCUCUCUACAUCAGGACUCCUUGAGAGGAGAUAUGCUUUGUCUGACUUUAUUCUUUUUGGGGUAUGGGUAGCACUGGCAAGGCCAUCACUUUUUGAUCAACCCCAAUUGAUGGACAGCUUAAUGGUUAAUAAUAUUUAGGUCAGGACACAAAUUAUGUCAGUUCCCACCAGCUGAUUAUCGGUCCAUUGACUAGGAGAGUGGCACAGAAAAGGAGACGCUAGUGCCCAGGAGUAGAAGAUUCACAGAAAGUGAUGGAUACAGCCCAAUCUAUCAUAGGCAGAACCCUCCCAACGUUGAGCACAUUUAGAUGGAGCACUGACACAAGAAAGCAGCAUCCAUCAUCAAGGAUGUCCACCUUCCAGGCCAUGCUCUCUUCGUGCUACUACAAUCAGAUGGAAACCUAAGGUUCCACACCACCAGGUUCUGGGACAACCAUCAGACUCCUGAACCAGAACCCUGACCUGGAGUUCCACGCUGACUUUGGUUCUUUGCGAGAUUGGUCCCACUCUCGGGGUUUCAUGACUGGCCGUUGCUCGAUAUGCCAAGGAUGCAGCCUAAGAGAGAUGCCAAUUUAAAGUAGGGAGGAGAACAGGCUUCUGCAGCAAGCGAUGGAGACCUUCAAGGGUGUUGAUAACAGAGAAGAUCAGUGAUAGACACCAGUUGAGCUCUGGAGGAAAAGAAAGCCAGGAUCUGGAGCUGGGGCAAGGGAAUAGGAGCGACAGGAUUUCUCCACUGGAGACUUCAAUGAUCACAGUGGAUCAAAAGGCUUCUGUUGGUGUGGUUAAGACUCCAUAAAUAAUUACCAAUCAAUUCAGAAACAAUGACCAGAAAACUCCCGAUUACUUUCUUAAAACCUGCAUCAUCCGCUUUUACCCUUCAUAGAGAAACUUGUCUUUCACCAAUCUGACUUUAUGAGCAAUACUGAGCCCACAAUUUUCCAUUUAUUCAAAGUUCAAAGAAAAUGUAUUAUUAAAAUACAUAAAUGUCACCAUACACAACACACAGAUUUGUUUCCUUGCAGGCAUUCACAGGAAAUAAAAAGAAACACAAUGUUUGUCUGCAGUUUUGGCAGUGUUGAAUGGCUCAAGUCUGGACUGUUACUGUGUGCUGUACCUUUCUAUCUUAUACAUGCUAUGUGUGCUUUGUGCUGUGUGUGACUGUUGGUACUGUGUUUUGCCCCUUGGCCCAGGAGUAACGCAGUUACAUUUGGCUGUGCUCAUGAGUAUUCACGUAUGUGUGGUCAAAGGGCAAUUAACUUAAAUUAAGUUUAAUUAAAAAUUACCAGAGCCCCAGAUGAAGUAUAUAGGGUAUGAGAUUAUGUAGGUACUUGAAAUCAAGAGCAACUGACACAAAAUGCUGGAGGAUCUCAGCAGGUCAGGCAGCAUCUAUGGAGAAGAGUAAAAGUUAGUGUUUUGGGACAAGGCGUUCAUGAGUCCUGAUAAAGGGCCUCGGCCUGAAAUGGCAACUGUUUACUCUUUUCCAGAAAUGUUGCCUGACCUGCUGAGUUCCUCCAGCAUUUAUGUGUAUUAUUAAUUUGCCGUUUAUUUAUUAUUAUUAUUUAGUUUAUUGUAUCUGCACAGUUUGUCU
Molecule: long non-coding RNA, 2868 nt
Organism: Hypanus sabinus (Atlantic stingray)
Lineage: Eukaryota; Metazoa; Chordata; Chondrichthyes; Myliobatiformes; Dasyatidae
Exons: 3
Source: RefSeq, a predicted model, not a curated record